AGCUGGUUUCAUAUGGUGGUUUAGAUUUAAAUAGUGAUUGUCUAGCACCAUUUGAAAUCAGUGUU
MicroRNA precursor from Choloepus hoffmanni (Hoffmann's two-fingered sloth), 65 nucleotides. Lineage: Eukaryota; Metazoa; Chordata; Mammalia; Pilosa; Megalonychidae. The record is from Ensembl.